Molecule: long non-coding RNA, 672 nt
Filed under: Homo sapiens (human)
Lineage: Eukaryota; Metazoa; Chordata; Mammalia; Primates; Hominidae
Description: HSALNT0304350
Source: RNAcentral
CUAACCUUGCCUUGACUGAUCAGGACUCCUCAGUGCACCUUCUCGCAAUGAGGCUCCCUGCUCAGCUCCUGGGGCUGCUAAUGCUCUGGGUCCCUGCAUGAGGCAUAUGAUGUACUGAUCUCUGAGAGGGAGGAAGAUUUUAGAAGGAAGGAUAUGUGCCCUGAAGAAACGCAAGUCUUAGAAAGAGGAUGAUGGUAUGGGAGACCACUUUGUGCCUUGCAUCUGUUGAGUUCUUUUUGAAAUUGGAUAUUCUUGAAAUUGCAAAGAAAUUAUACAGGCUGAAAUAAUAAAUGGAAAAUUAUGAGCAUAACGCAUAAUAUUUGUACAUAACUUUGCCCUUUUCUGUCAUCAUUCCAGGAUCUAGUGGGGACAUUCUGUUGACCCAGACUCCACUGUCCCUGUCCAUCACCCCCGGAGAGCCGGCCUCCAUCUCCUGCAGGUCUAGUCGGAGCCUCCUGCAUAGUAAUGGAAACACCUAUUUACAUUGAUAGCUGCAGAAGCUAGGCCAGCCUCCACAGUGUCUAAUCUACACGGUUUCCAACCGGUUUUCUGGGGUCCCAGACAGGUUCAGUGGCAGUGGGUCAGGCAUUGAUUUCACACUGAAAAUCAGCCCGGUGGAGGCUGAGGAUGUUGGGGUUUAUAUUACUGCAUGCAAGCUACACACUGGCCCCC